UGAAAGCAACUCCGGGGAUAAAGCUAGUGAUCAACUUUAUGCGAUCUAAUUUUGGCUGGAAUGGAUUACUGGAGAACAUUGUCUUCCCUACCACAAAUCUAUUGCAGGUUAACCAAAUUCUCAACUUCCCCUUCUGGCAAAGCCUGUACUGCACUUAUUCUAUAUCGUUUUUUUUUUGGGGGGGUGAUGGACCAAUUCAAAACUUGGAGCAAGUUCCUGACAUUAUCAUUCAAAUUGCAUUUAUAAAAGAAACUCAAAAAUCGCUUUACUUUAUUCAUAGCAUUACCCAAAAAUCGUGUUUUUUUUUUUAAUGGAAUCGCUAGGUUGUAUGUUAGUACACAAAAACUUCUACUUUCAAUAUUACUGCAGUAAUUGCUACCAAAUUAUUACAGCAACUCAAUAACUGAACCAAAGAAGCUAGAUGUUGAAAUUAAUUGAAGUGGCUCAGCCUCAGCCUCAGCUCUCCAUUGUUUUAUUACACUUAUAUUUUAAACCAUAUUCAUCCGCAGGUUAUGGACCAUUUUCUUCUGGAUGACGCCAGUAACCGUGCCCCCCGGGCUUAUCAUAAGGAUUCGUCGCUGUAAGAUCAGCACCAACAAAUUAAAAAAAAAAAUUGUCAAUUAAUUAUCAGCUGAUUAAUUUGAAUUCCCUCUAUUGAAUUGAUAACAAAAGAAAUCUUACAUCAAUUAAAUUAAAAUAUUUUGAGCACAUAAAUAUAACUAAAGUCACUUCAUCUAUUAUCAAUUUAUUUUAAUGGGAUAUCCUUCUAAAAUUUAACCUCCAACAAAAAUAUAUAUAGUAAAUACCUAAAUUUAAUUAAAAAAGUACUAUAUAUAUAUAUACAUAUUAUAUAGUUGGGAAAGCCACUGAGGGCUGUAAAACUAAUUUCCCAUUUUUCUUUCUUGUUUAUAUAUGGUAAGUAAUAUUUAAUCAGUCGCUUGAAUUAAUGAGCAUGUUUUGUGUGAUUACUUAGCACAGAAAGAAAAAGUAGUUGAUGCAUAUAGACAUAGCACAAUUAAACAUAUUAUUAUGAUAUCUCAGACUACCUAUAUAUAAUAAUAAAAUUCUAGGCCAUGAAAUGAAGUAAAUACUCAAGAAGCUAGGCCAGGCUAUAAUCCUUACGAGGUUGGAUCAUUAUGAGUUUCCUUGACGCCAUGGCAGAGCCUAGAAGGAGAAUACUAAAAACCAAGAGAACCUGGGCGAAGAGUAAUAUAAGCUUCUUAGAACCCAU
This 1231-nucleotide long non-coding RNA is filed under the name Durio zibethinus. RNAcentral's name for it is "long non-coding RNA (DZIB_LNC000124)". The record is from RNAcentral. Lineage: Eukaryota; Viridiplantae; Streptophyta; Magnoliopsida; Malvales; Malvaceae.